RNAcentral lists this long non-coding RNA (1178 nucleotides) under Paramuricea clavata. The record is from RNAcentral. Lineage: Eukaryota; Metazoa; Cnidaria; Anthozoa; Malacalcyonacea; Plexauridae.
AUUAGUCGCUGGGGCACUCUGUGCCUCCAGCUACUAUAGGUUUCGGCUUCAUCGCGGAUUGUUGGUCACAAAAUGACCUACGUCAUUUUUUUGUCAAACAUUACGUCAUUACUUUCAGUCGCUGGAUUCAAGAUGGCCGCCUAUUAUGGAGCGUAUUUGGAAAUAGUUUCAUCGAUUUUGUGCAUAUUUUCUUCAUUUUUUCGAUGAAACUUAAUAGUUUUCCAUCAGCCAGACUCUAUAAACCGAAAGUCAUCUUAUAUGAGUAAACUUGGAAGGCUGGAAGCCUGAAAUAGACGACAAAAGUUCACAAUUUUCACAAAGUUGGAACUUCGUAAAUUGCAACAAUAAUAUUCGCAAGUUGCUGUUUAUUUGGAUGUAAAUAGAAUCUGCUUAAUGGGACAAGGGUUUAAUAGAACUUUUUGCCUUGCUGGCAAAUGAUAUUUUAAAAGCUCUCAGGACAGCUGUUAUCUCACAAUAGGUAUUGUACAAUUCAAACACACAGAACAUAUUAAUUUGUAUAAUAGAUAAAUUUGGCAAAGUUAGUUACAUUGUUGCUAUGCAAUUCACAACUUUAAAUAUUCAUGCCUAGUUAGUGUUCUACAGUAGUUCACACAUAGAAUAGAACAGAGGUAACUAAGCAUUUGAUAAGCCCUAUACACUAUAAAAGUCAUUCAUUCAUUCAUGUAGCUAGAUAAUUCUAAAGCUUAGUUAUCUUUGCUCUACUCUAUGCUUCAGUACACCAGAACAAUGAUACUUAAGGCUGCAUUCCAGUUUCAUAGGUGCGUACACGCACGUAAAAGUUGAAUUCGCUUAAAAUUUCAUAUAAGUGCAAAUAACCUUAACAAAUACACAUUAAAUCAUACACAAAACUGAAUGCUGUCCUUUUAUAAAUCUAGUUAUUUCAUAACGCUUAACUGGAAUGCAGCCUUAAGGCAUGUGACUUAUGUAAAGUUGCGAAUUGGAUAUAACCAAACUUAGACAAAUUUGUUUAUUGUCUAUAGUCCGGGGACUUGUUUGAUGAACUUUGUUUUAAUUUUUCCUUGAAUCCCAUUUUUGACAAAAACAAUUUUAUUAUAUGAACACAUAAACUUAACAAACAAAUAGCAGUCUUAAUCUCAAUCGCAUGCAGCAUAAUAUGCAAUAGCCCCAGCGACUAACGCUCAAUAGAGCGUCUUGUU